CCAACCAUAGCUCAGUUGGUAGAGCAGAGGACUGUAAUCCUUAGGUCGCUGCUUCGAAUCCGGCUGGCUGGA
This 72-nucleotide transfer RNA is filed under the name Onchocerca volvulus. RNAcentral describes it as "tRNA OVOC13042". It matches the Rfam family "tRNA". From Rfam's summary of the family: Transfer RNA (tRNA) molecules are approximately 80 nucleotides in length. Their secondary structure includes four short double-helical elements and three loops (D, anti-codon, and T loops). The record is from Rfam by way of RNAcentral. Lineage: Eukaryota; Metazoa; Nematoda; Chromadorea; Rhabditida; Onchocercidae.